Molecule: small nuclear RNA, 104 nt
Organism: Neogale vison (American mink)
Lineage: Eukaryota; Metazoa; Chordata; Mammalia; Carnivora; Mustelidae
Source: Ensembl
GUGUUCUCUUUGGAAGCACUUAUACUAAAACUGGAAUGAUACAGAGAUUAGUAUGGGCCCUGUGCAAGGAUGACAUUGAAAUUCAUGAAGUGUUCCAUAUUUUU